UCCGGCUUAUCACCGGCGGUUUCUUUAGAGUGCCCAACUAAAUGAUGGCAACUAAAGACGAGGGUUGCGCUCGUUGCGGGACUUAACCCAACAUUUCACAACACGAGCUGACGACAGCCAUGCACCACCUGUGUAGCACCCUCGAAGGCGUCCACUUUUGGGUGGCUUGCAGCUACAUGUCAAGCCCUGGUAAGGUUCUUCGCGUUGCAUCGAAUUAAGCCACAUGCUCCACCGCUUGUGCGGGCCCCCGCCAAUUCCUUUGAGUUUCAACCUUGCGGCCGUAGUCCCCAGGCGGUUCACUUAAUGCGUUAGCUGCGGCACCGAGGGAAACCCCCGACACCUAGUGAACAUCGUUUAUGGCUAUGACUAC
RNAcentral lists this unclassified non-coding RNA (370 nucleotides) under uncultured bacterium. Its description in RNAcentral is "contains 16S-23S intergenic spacer region". The record is from RNAcentral.